This 509-nucleotide ribosomal RNA is filed under the name uncultured Glomus. RNAcentral's name for it is "SSU rRNA". It matches the Rfam family "Eukaryotic small subunit ribosomal RNA", at positions 569 to 1080 of the family's 1831-position model. The record is from RNAcentral. Lineage: Eukaryota; Fungi; Glomeromycota; Glomeromycetes; Glomerales; Glomeraceae.
AGCAGCCGCGGUAAUUCCAGCUCCAAUAGCGUAUAUUAAAGUUGCUGCAGUUAAAAAGCUCGUAGUUGAAUUUCGGGACCAUCAUGUCGGUCGUGCCUCGGUACGUACUGGCAUCGUUGGUUUCUCCCUUCUGACGAACCAUGAUGUCAUUUAUUUGGUGUCGUGGGGAAUCAGGACUGUUACUUUGAAAAAUUAGAGUGUUUAAAGCAGGCUCACGCUUGAAUACAUUAGCAUGGAAUAAUGAAAUAGGACGAUCGAUCCUAUUUUGUUGGUUUCUAGGAUUGACGUAAUGAUUAAUAGGGAUAAUUGGGGGCAUUAGUAUUCAAUUGUCAGAGGUGAAAUUCUUGGAUUUAUUGAAGACUAACUACUGCGAAAGCAUUUGCCAAGGAUGUUUUCAUUAAUCAAGAACGAAAGUUAGGGGAUCGAAGACGAUCAGAUACCGUCGUAGUCUUAACCAUAAACCUAUGCCGACUAGGGAUCGGAUGAUGUUAAUUUUUAAUGUACUCUAC